RNAcentral lists this long non-coding RNA (250 nucleotides) under Carica papaya (papaya). RNAcentral's name for it is "long non-coding RNA (CPAP_LNC001175)". The record is from RNAcentral. Lineage: Eukaryota; Viridiplantae; Streptophyta; Magnoliopsida; Brassicales; Caricaceae.
AUAUAUGUUCUUCUUUCUAACACCUUUACUCACCAGGCAUCAGGAUGUCACAUUAUAGGUCUUACCAAGAUACUUUAUUUUUUUGCAAAAAUCAUCUUGGAUGUGUUCAAAUUCCUUCGCUUACGUAGAGUUUUGCUAGUGGCAGAAAAAUAUUAAUGGUGUUAAGUUUGUUGUUACUGUGUGCCUUUGAUCGAACGCAAUUGAACUUAUUAGACCCUUGACUGAAGACAAUUAAAUACAUUAGGUCAUU